GACGAACGCUGGCGGCGUGCCUAAUACAUGCAAGUCGAGCGGAUGACGGAGGAGCUUGCUCCUCCUGAUUCAGCGGCGGACGGGUGAGUAACACGUGGGCAACCUGCCCUGUAGAUUGGGAUAACUCCGGGAAACCGGGGCUAAUACCGAAUAAUCCUUCGGACCUCAUGGUCCGAUGUUGAAAGACGGUUUCGGCUGUCACUACAGGAUGGGCCCGCGGCGCAUUAGCUAGUUGGUGAGGUAACGGCUCACCAAGGCCACGAUGCGUAGCCGACCUGAGAGGGUGAUCGGCCACACUGGGACUGAGGCACGGCCCAGACUCGUACGGGAGGCAGCAGUAGGGAAUCUUCCACAAUGGACGAAAGUCUGAUGGAGCAACGCCGCGUGAGUGAAGAAGGUUCUCAGAUCGUAAAACUCUGUUGUGAGGGAAGAACAAGUACCGGAGUAACUGCCGGUGCCUUGACGGUACCUCAUUAGAAAGCCACGGCUAACUACGUGCCAGCCGCCGCGGUAA
RNAcentral lists this ribosomal RNA (514 nucleotides) under uncultured bacterium. RNAcentral describes it as "partial 16S ribosomal RNA". It matches the Rfam family "Bacterial small subunit ribosomal RNA", at positions 28 to 523 of the family's 1533-position model. The record is from RNAcentral.